This 459-nucleotide ribosomal RNA is filed under the name uncultured bacterium. RNAcentral's name for it is "partial 16S ribosomal RNA". It matches the Rfam family "Bacterial small subunit ribosomal RNA", at positions 338 to 795 of the family's 1533-position model. The record is from RNAcentral.
CCUACGGGAGGCAGCAGUGAGGAAUAUUGGUCAAUGGGCGCGAGCCUGAACCAGCCAAGUCGCGUGAGGGAAGACGGUCCUAUGGAUUGUAAACCUCUUUUGUCGGGGAGCAAAAGACGCCACGCGUGGCGUUCCGAGAGUACCCGAAGAAAAAGCAUCGGCUAACUCCGUGCCAGCAGCCGCGGUAAUACGGAGGAUGCGAGCGUUAUCCGGAUUUAUUGGGUUUAAAGGGUGCGCAGGCGGAAGAUCAAGUCAGCGGGAAAAUUGAGAGGCUAAACCCCGUCGAGCCGUUGAAACUGGUUUUCUUGAGUGAGCGAGAAGUAUGCGGAAUGCGUGGUGUAGCGGUGAAAUGCAUAGAGAUCACGCAGAACUCCGAUUGCGAAGGCAGCAUACCGGCGCUCAACUGACGCUCAUGCACGAAAGUGUGGGUAUCGAACAGGAUUAGAUACCCCAGUAGUC